This 253-nucleotide ribosomal RNA is filed under the name uncultured bacterium. Its description in RNAcentral is "partial 16S ribosomal RNA". It matches the Rfam family "Bacterial small subunit ribosomal RNA", at positions 524 to 776 of the family's 1533-position model. The record is from RNAcentral.
GACGAACCGUGCGAACGUUGUUCGGAAUCACUGGGCUUAAAGGGCGCGUAGGCGGCAGUUCAAGUCCGGGGUGAAAUCCUCCAGCUCAACUGGAGAAGUGCCUUGGAUACUGGAGUGCUCGAGGGAGGUAGGGGUCGAGGGAACUUCUGGUGGAGCGGUGAAAUGCGUUGAUAUCAGAAGGAACGCCGGUGGCGAAAGCGCUUGACUGGACCUCUUCUGACGCUGAGGCGCGAAAGCUAGGGGAGCAAACGGG